GUGUCAAGCAAGGUACGGGUGUCAAGCAAGGUACGGGUGUCAAGCGAGGUACGGGUGUCAAGCAAGGUACGGGUGUCAAGCGAGGUACGUGUGUCAAGCAAGGUACGGGUGUUAGGCAAGGUACGUGUGUCAAGCAAGGUACGGGUGUCAAGCGAGGUACGGGUGUCAAGCAAGGUACGGGUGUUAGGCAAGGUACGGGUGUCAAGCAAGGUACGUGUGUCAAGCAAGGUACGUGUGUUAGGCAAGGUACGUGUGUCAAGCAAGGUACGGGUGUUA
RNAcentral lists this long non-coding RNA (276 nucleotides) under Haliotis rubra (blacklip abalone). Its description in RNAcentral is "uncharacterized LOC124279183, transcript variant X2". The record is from RNAcentral. Lineage: Eukaryota; Metazoa; Mollusca; Gastropoda; Lepetellida; Haliotidae.